Molecule: long non-coding RNA, 146 nt
Organism: Bradysia coprophila
Lineage: Eukaryota; Metazoa; Arthropoda; Insecta; Diptera; Sciaridae
Source: RefSeq, a predicted model, not a curated record
GAUUUUUACGGUCUGAGCGAAGCGAGCGCCUCGAUUUCGCUCGAAUUGGAAUUUCCCAUUUCUCUUAGAGAUGAACACAAAGUUUUUCAUGCGUGCACGUUGUGUUUUUCCGUUUUUCUCCACGAAACAAAAACAUCCAUUCGCCA